GGAUUUCAAAGUAUAUAUAUAUAUAUAUUGUUUAAUUUUAUAUAUCCCUUAAUAAAAUUAUGGUGAUUUUAUUUUAUUCAAAUAUGAGUCAUCAGGUGGGUAAUAGAUAAUUUUAUAAGAUACAAGUCACUUUCCAGUAAGCCAUGAGUGGAUGGAAAGAUGAUUUGAGUCGGGUCCUGAGUGUUUAAGAUAAGCUGCUAUAAAUAUGGUUUCUGCUAUUCUAUGUCAGGUUAAGCUCAUACAAUUUGGAAAGCAAAAGUUGCUGUGGAAAUGGACCUUCGAAAAUGUUCUACAGCAACUCCAUUUUGCUAGGGAUCUUGUUUCUGCUUGAUCAGGCUAAAUUUGAAUGGCAUUCAUGCAUGGAAU
RNAcentral lists this unclassified non-coding RNA (366 nucleotides) under Hevea brasiliensis (rubber tree). Lineage: Eukaryota; Viridiplantae; Streptophyta; Magnoliopsida; Malpighiales; Euphorbiaceae. The record is from RNAcentral.